RNAcentral lists this long non-coding RNA (389 nucleotides) under Monodelphis domestica (gray short-tailed opossum). Its description in RNAcentral is "lncRNA (ENSMODG00000043263.1)". Lineage: Eukaryota; Metazoa; Chordata; Mammalia; Didelphimorphia; Didelphidae. The record is from RNAcentral.
UAGGCUGACAAAGGAUGUCAAAUUCUUUGAACCUCUGACAUCAUCCAGCUCUAACAUCCAACAUGCUGUGGCAGCCUCGUAGAGGAUGCUCCUCAAGGAGGAGAGAAAACACAUCGAUUGAUCUGGCACCCAGGAGACAAGAAAACAAUGAGCAUGCCUGCUAAAGGCUGGAUUGCUCCCAGGCACCCGCCAGGUCUCGGCUGACAGGCUGGGUUCAAGGACUGCUCUCGGUAGAAGGGCCUGGUCCACAAGGCAGGUCCCAACAUGAACUUUCUGCAAGGGGCUUACUCCUGGAAAUACCAGAAAGACUUUGCCAUUACACCAUCUCACUUAUAACACAGUCCUGUAGAAAACGUGCCAAAGACAGCAUCAUGAAGAGAUUCUGGUGG